This is a long non-coding RNA of Dermacentor silvarum, 298 nucleotides long. RefSeq lists it as uncharacterized. The record is from RefSeq and is a predicted model, not a curated record. Lineage: Eukaryota; Metazoa; Arthropoda; Arachnida; Ixodida; Ixodidae. The transcript is spliced from 3 exons.
GAUUACUAUAGGAACAUAUCAAACGUGCUCGUGUACGGAACCUAACGGGACGCAAUGGACUGCAAAAAAUGGCGAUCCUUGCAUGACUGUAGCUCCGGGGUAUAAUGAAGAACUUACAAGAAAAUCUGGUACAUGCAAAAAUGGAACCUGCAUAUUGACUGAGAUUCAACGAGGAUGUCCAGAAAAUACAAGACUAGUAAAGGAAACAAACCAACCACAAAUCGGUUGUGCUUAUACCUGUUUCACCAGUAAACAAGAACGGAGGUAUGAUUAUUAUCCGGUUGGAACGAAUUGCACG